Molecule: long non-coding RNA, 458 nt
Filed under: Bos taurus (domestic cattle)
Lineage: Eukaryota; Metazoa; Chordata; Mammalia; Artiodactyla; Bovidae
Description: long non-coding RNA NONBTAT023428
Source: RNAcentral
GAGAGAAGUUUUGUAUUUGUAUACAUGUAUGCAUGUAUACAUGAUUGAAUUUUCUACAAAUUUCUUAGUAUUAAGUGUUUAUAAUUUCUUAGUAUUAUACACAUUUAUCUGUGUCCCUUAUAUGAUAUAUUCAAAGUUAAUUUAAAAAUAAGAGUGGAGUAUGUUAGGGAAAACUUGACCAGAGAGAUUAUAGUAUAGUAUGUUGCCCUGCUAUGCCUUAAAGAGGGGAAGAUUGUCUGGAGUCAUCUGUUCAUAAAGGAAUCUAAAUAGCAAGAUACGCAGAGUAAAGGCGGACACCAUUUUGCUUGUAGCAUUAGAUAUGUGAGCUGGCUACUUGUCUUAUGGUUGGUUGUAAUAUUUGCAAAGAACCUUACUUCUUAGGAGGGUUUGCAAUUAUUAGAAACAUGGGUUUUUAUUUGACACUUGUGGAAGAUAGCUUAAUGACAUUAGCCACCCAA